This 27-nucleotide non-coding RNA is filed under the name Homo sapiens (human). The record is from RNAcentral. Lineage: Eukaryota; Metazoa; Chordata; Mammalia; Primates; Hominidae.
UGCCACUUCACAUGAGGGCUACACUGC